RNAcentral lists this ribosomal RNA (766 nucleotides) under Arthrobacter sp. LB_A2C. RNAcentral's name for it is "bacterial SSU rRNA". It matches the Rfam family "Bacterial small subunit ribosomal RNA", at positions 622 to 1386 of the family's 1533-position model. The record is from RNAcentral. Lineage: Bacteria; Bacillati; Actinomycetota; Actinomycetes; Micrococcales; Micrococcaceae.
GCGGGUGGGUACGGGCAGACUAGAGUGAUGUAGGGGAGACUGGAAUUCCUGGUGUAGCGGUGAAAUGCGCAGAUAUCAGGAGGAACACCGAUGGCGAAGGCAGGUCUCUGGGCAUUAACUGACGCUGAGGAGCGAAAGCAUGGGGAGCGAACAGGAUUAGAUACCUGGUAGUCCAUGCCGUAAACGUUGGGCACUAGGUGUGGGGGACAUUCCACGUUUUCCGCGCCGUAGCUAACGCAUUAAGUGCCCCGCCUGGGGAGUACGGCCGCAAGGCUAAAACUCAAAGGAAUUGACGGGGGCCCGCACAAGCGGCGGAGCAUGCGGAUUAAUUCGAUGCAACGCGAAGAACCUUACCAAGGCUUGACAUGAACCGGUAAUACCUGGAGACAGGUGCCCCGCUUGCGGUCGGUUUACAGGUGGUGCAUGGUUGUCGUCAGCUCGUGUCGUGAGAUGUUGGGUUAAGUCCCGCAACGAGCGCAACCCUCGUUCUAUGUUGCCAGCACGUGAUGGUGGGGACUCAUAGGAGACUGCCGGGGUCAACUCGGAGGAAGGUGGGGACGACGUCAAAUCAUCAUGCCCCUUAUGUCUUGGGCUUCACGCAUGCUACAAUGGCCGGUACAAAGGGUUGCGAUACUGUGAGGUGGAGCUAAUCCCAAAAAGCCGGUCUCAGUUCGGAUUGGGGUCUGCAACUCGACCCCAUGAAGUCGGAGUCGCUAGUAAUCGCAGAUCAGCAACGCUGCGGUGAAUACGUUCCCGGGCCUUGUAC